GACGAACGCUGGCGGCGUGCUUAACACAUGCAAGUCGAACGGAAAGGCCCUGCUUGCAGGGUGCUCGAGUGGCGAACGGGUGAGUAACACGUGGGUGAUCUGCCCCUUACUUUGGGAUAAGCCUGGGAAACUGGGUCUAAUACUGGAUAGGACCAUGCUGUAGGUGGUGUGGUGGAAAGAUUAGUUUCGGUAAGGGAUGAGCUCGCGGCCUAUCAGCUUGUUGGUGGGGUAAUGGCCUACCAAGGCGUCGACGGGUAGCCGGCCUGAGAGGGUGGACGGCCACAUUGGGACUGAGAUACGGCCCAGACUCCUACGGGAGGCAGCAGUGGGGAAUAUUGCACAAUGGGCGCAAGCCUGAUGCAGCGACGCCGCGUGGGGGAUGAUGGCCUUCGGGUUGUAAACUCCUUUCAGCCAUGACGAAGCCCUUGUGGUGACGGUAGUGGUAGAAGAAGCACCGGCUAACUACGUG
This 469-nucleotide ribosomal RNA is filed under the name uncultured bacterium. RNAcentral describes it as "partial 16S ribosomal RNA". It matches the Rfam family "Bacterial small subunit ribosomal RNA", at positions 28 to 507 of the family's 1533-position model. The record is from RNAcentral.